CUGAAACUUUGUCAGCAUCUCUUGUAAUUUUGUUCUCUGCAGCGUGACAUUACCGCAGUGCCACUCCGUUAGGACUGAUCCAGGUGUGCAGUACAACCAGCACACAGCCCUGCUGAGAGCCCACCACGUACUUCUCUGCCUUGCUUCACCGCUUUGGUCCAAGCUCCUGAGCCAAUGUCUCUGCCCCACAUUCAGCUCCAAGCAUUCUGAAGAGGCAGUAAGAAACCAGCUUGAUGGUUUGUGGAUCAUAAAGGAAUAAGGAUAAAAAAAAAAAAUAAAGAGGGAAGAAUUCACAUCCCGGCAUCAGUCAGAAAUACCUGAAAGCACCUGGCAACUGUGCUGCGAAGGGAUGCUCUACCCCAGGGCCACAAAACCUUCAGCUUUCCACUGUGAUCACUUUAUGAAGCCCAUCACAGCCACGAAGCCCACUUUCCCUCCUGAGGCCUCACUGUGGGCACAGAGUCACCCCACCAUCACCAUCGCUCCCUGGACUGCUGCCAUAAAGCUGCCCUACUGA
Molecule: long non-coding RNA, 517 nt
Filed under: Coturnix japonica (Japanese quail)
Lineage: Eukaryota; Metazoa; Chordata; Aves; Galliformes; Phasianidae
Description: lncRNA (ENSCJPG00005020850.1)
Source: RNAcentral